GAAGCAGCUAGAGAUAGCUGUGUCCUUCGGGACAAGGAGACAGGUGGUGCAUGGUUGUCGUCAGCUCGUGUCGUGAGAUGUGGGUUAAGUCCCGCAACGAGCGCAACCCCUGUGGUUAGUUGCCAUCAUUGAUUGGGCACUCUAAAGAGACUGCCGGUGUCAAACCCGGAGGGAAGGUGGGGAUGACGUCAAGUCCUCAUGGCCUUUAUGACCAGGGCUACACACGUACUACAAUGGCCGGUACAAAGGGCAGCGACACAGCGAUGUGAAGCCAAUCCCGAAAAGCCGGUCUCAGUCCGGAUUGGAGUCUGCAACUCGACUCCAUGAAGUUGGAAUCGCUAGUAAUCGCGGAUCAGCACGCCGCGGUGAAUACGUUCCCGGGCCUU
This 386-nucleotide ribosomal RNA is filed under the name uncultured Desulfocapsa sp. Its description in RNAcentral is "bacterial SSU rRNA". It matches the Rfam family "Bacterial small subunit ribosomal RNA", at positions 993 to 1382 of the family's 1533-position model. Lineage: Bacteria; Pseudomonadati; Thermodesulfobacteriota; Desulfobulbia; Desulfobulbales; Desulfocapsaceae. The record is from RNAcentral.